This 407-nucleotide ribosomal RNA is filed under the name uncultured bacterium. Its description in RNAcentral is "bacterial SSU rRNA". It matches the Rfam family "Bacterial small subunit ribosomal RNA", at positions 355 to 776 of the family's 1533-position model. The record is from RNAcentral.
UGGGGAAUAUUGUUCAAUGGACUAAAAGUCUGAAACAGCAAUGCCGCGUGGAUGAUGAAGGCCUUCGGGUUGUAAAGUCCUUUCGAUAGGGAAGAAGCAAUGACGGUACCUAGAGAAGAAGCCACGGCUAAUCACGUGCCAGCAGCCGCGGUAAGACGUGAGUGGCAAGCGUUAUCCGGAAUUACUGGGCGUAAAGAGCGCGUAGGCGGUCUUGAAAGUCAGAGGUGAAAAGUCAGGGCUUAACCUUGGCCUUGCCUUUGAAACUUCAAGACUAGAGUGUUGGAUAGGAGGGAGGAACUACCAGUGUAGCGGUGGAAUGCGUAGAUAUUGGUAGGAACGCCGAUGACGAAGGUAUCUCUCUGGACAAAGACUGACGCUGAGGUGCGAGAGCUAGGGGAGCAAACAGG